Non-coding RNA from Vicia faba (fava bean), 300 nucleotides. Lineage: Eukaryota; Viridiplantae; Streptophyta; Magnoliopsida; Fabales; Fabaceae. The record is from the annotation of a GenBank genome assembly.
AUGACCUUAUCAACCACUUUUUUCAGCAUAUUUGCAAGAAGUUUAGCGAGCACUUUGUACAUGCAGCCGACUAACGAUAUAAGUCUGAAAUCAUUCAGCUUCACCAGAUUCUCAACUUUUGGGAUAAGUGUUAUGAAUGUACUAUUAUCCCCUCGAACGAUUCACCUAUUUGAGUGGAAUUCAGAAAUGAAUCUCAAAAAAUCUUCUUUGAUCACUUCCCAAAACUCCUUGAUAAAGCAAAAUUUAAACCAUUCGGUUCGGGGCUCUUCGAGCUAUGACAAUCCCAAACUGCACUUUUGA